AUACGUAGGGGGCGAGCGUUAUCCGGAAUUAUUGGGCGUAAAGCGCGCGCAGGCGGCCGAUUAAGUCAGGUGUGAAAGGCUGCGGCUCAACCGCAGAGCGGCAUCUGAAACUGGUCGGCUUGAGUGCAGGAGAGGGGAGUGGAAUUCCCGGUGUAGCGGUGGAAUGCGUAGAGAUCGGGAGGAACACCAGUGGCGAAGGCGGCUCUCUGGCCUGUAACUGACGCUGAGGCGCGAAAGCGUGGGGAGCAAACAGGAUUAGAUACCCUGGUAGUCCACGCCGUAAACGAUGAGUGCUAGGUGUUGGGGGGUUCCCCCUCAGUGCCGAAGGUAACCCAUUAAGCACUCCGCCUGGGGAGUACGGCCGCAAGGCUGAA
RNAcentral lists this ribosomal RNA (374 nucleotides) under uncultured bacterium. RNAcentral describes it as "bacterial SSU rRNA". It matches the Rfam family "Bacterial small subunit ribosomal RNA", at positions 523 to 898 of the family's 1533-position model. The record is from RNAcentral.